RNAcentral lists this long non-coding RNA (830 nucleotides) under Actinidia chinensis (golden kiwifruit). RNAcentral's name for it is "long non-coding RNA (ACHI_LNC007951)". The record is from RNAcentral. Lineage: Eukaryota; Viridiplantae; Streptophyta; Magnoliopsida; Ericales; Actinidiaceae.
UUUUCUCUGCAAUAACUCUUUGUUCUACUCAUUUAAUUCACUAUCUUGUCAGGCUCAAAGCUAUAUCUGUUGGCCUAAGUGAUCCAGUCAGUGUGUAGUGAUUGGGACAACUGCAGAAAUGUCUAGCGCAGUUAUACCAAAACAGAAGGUUCUGGAAUCUGUCUUGGCAGUUUUUAUUUUUCUUGUUUGGUAAGAUAUUUUUGUGGGGUUUCAGGUAAGUUUUGUUUAGACUUGGUUGUUCAACCCGUGGGUUGGUUCAGCUGUAAAACUUGCCUUUUCAUCUCCUAGGUCCCAGUUCGAAUCUCUCAAGGGGUUAGUUACGCGAAGACACGUUUUUCAUGCUGAGCGAAUUGUAUGUAGAGUAUGGUUUUGAAUCCUGACUGAUGUAAUCCGGACUUACUAUUGUAUGAGUUAAGCAGUCGGUUGUGUAACACUCAUUAAGGUCAGUUGUGUAACACUCAUUAAGGAAGGAGACUGCCUGCAGAUUCUAGCUGCAAUGAUCACCCCUUAGCUAGCCUGGUAAUGUUUUUGUUUGUGGUUUCUUAAAAUCGCACCAAUCCAAACCAUAAACAUCCCAACUGCUAGUAACAGUGUUGGGAAAAUAAGAGUGGGAAAUGUAUAAAUAAAGAAUGUUAGGUAAGUCUGUGUCUUUCCUUUUUGUAUUAUUUGAAGCCUUGGAAAAGGAAAGAAAAAUAAAAUAGGAUGAAUUCUGUAUUUUCCCAAUUCUCAAUUUUGUUUGUCUUGCCAUUUUGUGGAUGGAAACAAGGAACUGAUUGUGCUCCCUCCCUCUCUCUCUCUCUCUCUCUCGACAGUGACAAGCAAUGGUAUUU